UGGGGAAUAUUGCGCAAUGGGCGAAAGCCUGACGCAGCCACGCCGCGUGAGCGAUGAAGGUCUUCGGAUCGUAAAGCUCUGUGGGGGGAGAAGAAACCUGACGGUAUCCCCUUAGCAAGCACCGGCUAACUCCGUGCCAGCAGCCGCGGUAAUACGGAGGGUGCAAACGUUGCUCGGAAUCAUUGGGCGUAAAGCGCACGUAGGUGGCAUCGCAAGUUGGAUGUGAAAGCCCAGGGCUCAACCUUGGAAGUGCAUUCAAAACUGCGUUGCUUGAGUCCCGGAGGGGCCCAGAGAAUUCUCGGUGUAGAGGUGAAAUUCGUAGAUAUCGGGAGGAAUACCAGUGGCGAAGGCGCUGGGCUGGACGGGUACUGACGCUGAGGUGCGAAAGCGUGGGGAGCAAACAGGAUUAGAUACCCCCGUAGUCC
RNAcentral lists this ribosomal RNA (425 nucleotides) under uncultured prokaryote. RNAcentral describes it as "bacterial SSU rRNA". It matches the Rfam family "Bacterial small subunit ribosomal RNA", at positions 355 to 796 of the family's 1533-position model. The record is from RNAcentral.